RNAcentral lists this transfer RNA (66 nucleotides) under Sinopotamon yaanense. RNAcentral's name for it is "tRNA-Pro". Lineage: Eukaryota; Metazoa; Arthropoda; Malacostraca; Decapoda; Potamidae. The record is from RNAcentral.
CAGGGGAUAGUUUAAAAAAAAUAUUAAUUUUGGGGAUUAAAGAUGAUAGAAUUAUAUUUCCUCUGA